Molecule: ribosomal RNA, 497 nt
Filed under: uncultured bacterium
Lineage: Bacteria
Description: partial 16S ribosomal RNA
Rfam family: Bacterial small subunit ribosomal RNA
Source: RNAcentral
GAUGAACGCUGGCGGCGUGCCUAAUACAUGCAAGUCGAGCGAACAGAUGAGGAGCUUGCUCCUCUGACGUUAGCGGCGGACGGGUGAGUAACACGUGGAUAACCUACCUAUAAGACUGGGAUAAUUUCGGGAAACCGGAGCUUAUACCGGAUAAUAUAUUGAACCGCAUGGUUCAAUAGUGAAAGUCGGUUUUGUUGUCACUUAUCGAUGGAUCCGCGCCGCAUUAGCUAGUUGGUAAGGUAACGGCUUAUCAAGGCAACGAUGCGUAGCCGACCUGAGAGGGUGAUCGGCCACACGGGAACUGAGACACGGUCCAGACUCCUACGGGAGGCAGCAGUAGGGAAUCUUCCGCAAUGGGCGAAAGCCUGACGGAGCAACGCCGCGUGAGUGAUGAAGGUCUUCGGAUCGUAAAACUCUGUUAUUAGGGAAGAACAAAUGUGUAAGUAACUAUGCACGUCUUGACGGUACCUAAUCAGAAAGCCACGGCUAACUACGUG